AUAACAUUGUCCAAGGCCUAUAAAGAAAUUAGGGGAAAUUUCAGCAACAUAAGCAGAAUGUUGGCUGGUCUGCCCUUUGUAACAAUUGAUGAGAAAUGGGAACAACAAGAAAACUAAUUUGUUCUUCUAGUAUAUACUAAAAAAACCCCCACCAACACCUCACAAUUUGUCCUGCCCGAAGAAGCAUUUUCGGUUUUGCAAAGCUUGUAGAUACAAUGACAUUGAGGUGACUUGCAGAAUAAGAGGGUGGAGAAUAAACUUUUUGUAUUGUUUCCAAUAGCGUAUAAAUGUUUUGCCACAAAGAAGCAAAAUACCACUUUGCAUACACCUCCCCCUCGAUAUGAAUACUUCCUUCCCUCUUGCAUAAAAAAGGUUUGCAAACUCAAAAGAAUAAAUUCCAGUUUGUCUGUCUCAGGUGUGCUGAUGAUGUAGCUGACUCAUCACCAAUUAAACAGUGUUCUGCUGCGUAUAAACGUUUGUUUGCAGAAGGUGAUUUAAAAGGAAAAAUGCUUGGUACAGGGAGGAAACAUUGAGGCCCAUGUACCAAACAGGUUAAUCAUUGGCAAAACCAGCAGCCUAGCAAUCCCACAAGCCUUUGCAAGUGCAAUCCCGAGAACCCUUGCACUGACUGUUGAGGCCAGUGGAGAGUUGAAGUUUGAGCAAGGAGGAGUGACUGCAGUGGAAUUUGACAAGGUUUGGCAUCUGGUAAGAAAUUGCAUUCCACUGAGCCAAGCUGCCUUUGGGACUUGACAGAUGCUUCUUCUUUACUCUCAUUUGUAAGCUGCCAAAUCAUGCAAAAAUGUUCUAGCUCGCAAAAUUAGGGACCCCACUUGUAAGUAUUUCUUAAAAAGAAAAAUCCUCCUCGACAUGGCAAACACUUGUACUGGUGUGGAUGUGAUUAUUGGGUGACAUGGUCUGAAGUAAAUGUUGAGUACCCAUUGCCUCAGUGGGCAUCUCUUGAUAACACAUGAAAUUAUAGCUAUGGAGAUGUCGAUUUUUGACCUUUUGGCCCAGUAUAAAUCACGACAGUAGUGUAAUUUUGUUUGUCCCUUUGCAGUGCCUUCUGUGCUCUGACUUUGGUGUAUCUUCUUGGUGCAACGUAGGCCGAGGUGCAAAGCAAGCAUCGGGAAUAAUUUCGUAUCUUGGAGGUUAUUAAAAGUUAGGCAUUGCUGUCCAUUAAUUAUGAGAUAGUUGAGCUUGUCUUCAAGGUGGUAAAUGAAAAUCUGUCUUGCUCAGAGACUUAAUUAAAAUCAGGAGGUCAGGCAGAAUGCACUGCAAUUAUUAUCUGCAACCUAACGCAGUAAACCACAUUCAGUGAGUGGGGCGGAAAUAUUGGCAGAAUUGUGAGGGAGCCAGCAGAUCCACACCUACCCACCAAUGCAACUUUUGGGAAGGACUGUUUCAUACAAGCAGAACUUUCAAUUUCAGAAUCAGUAUUUGUAAAGUCCCACAACCAUUCUUGACUUGUCCCAUUGAUAGAUUGUUGGUAUAGAAUCAUGAGCCUGGCCCCAACUGAGAAAAUGACUGACUAACAGCAUCCCAGAAUUACUUGGUGUACACACACACACACACACACACACACACACACACACACAGACAAAACUCCUUGGCUGGAUCUGCCUCCUUGAUUAGUAGUAGGCAGGCAGAGCUGUGCAUUAAAUAAGGGCAAUGGCAAAAGUGUCACCUAUUUCUGGUAAUAUUGUGUAGGUUUCCCUGUACAGUGGACGCUCGGGUUGCGA
RNAcentral lists this long non-coding RNA (1739 nucleotides) under Podarcis muralis (Common wall lizard). Its description in RNAcentral is "lncRNA (ENSPMRG00000012521.1)". The record is from RNAcentral. Lineage: Eukaryota; Metazoa; Chordata; Lepidosauria; Squamata; Lacertidae.